UUGACAUCGUAUAAGGGAUUUAUGGUCAUUUUUCUAAGAAUUGGGUUGCCAGGCUUUUCAGAUUAAUUAUGAAAUUGCCACUGAAUUCGUAUUUAAAAAUCUGCGCUAUUCCAAAUAUUGAAACCAACAUAUCUCAUUCAUUAUAAGGUCAAAUGGAGUAAUUCAAAAGCCUAACUUAACUGGAAUUUCACAAGGAAUCCAUUGGAGGCAUCAAAAGCGAGUUUUGGGAUCGUUUGGCACCAGAAACGAGGCAGAACAGCUGGGCGUUUUUGCUAUUUAAUGUUGUUUGGGUUUCUCUCAUCUUGAAAGCUUGGGUUUGGGAGAAUUCAAGGAUGUUCUUCAAGUUUCUUCCAUGUGACUUUCUUGGUCUUAAGGCUCAACGGGAGGGAAAGGCUAAGGAGUGAUUGUUGGUGUAUUGCUGUUCGGCCAUCCAGGUAGGUUAUGGCUUACCUUUGGUGAGACUUCGUGUAGCGAAGCAUAUAUUUUGAUGAUAUUGUCGGAGAAAGCAUGUAAACCUUCGUGUAUGAAGUUGGGUUGGAUAUUGUCUUAGGUUGGGCCUUGUUGCGUGAUUGGGGCUAGCCACCCCGUUGUGUUGUGACUUGAUUGCUCUAUUGUUAUUGGCUUGAUGCUGCGUGGUAAUAGUAGAUAUUGGAGACUAUUGAUAUAUCUUGUUCAUGA
Molecule: long non-coding RNA, 678 nt
Organism: Lycium ferocissimum
Lineage: Eukaryota; Viridiplantae; Streptophyta; Magnoliopsida; Solanales; Solanaceae
Exons: 2
Source: RefSeq, a predicted model, not a curated record